This 253-nucleotide ribosomal RNA is filed under the name uncultured bacterium. RNAcentral describes it as "partial 16S ribosomal RNA". It matches the Rfam family "Bacterial small subunit ribosomal RNA", at positions 524 to 776 of the family's 1533-position model. The record is from RNAcentral.
GACAGAGGGUGCAAACGUUGUUCGGAAUUACUGGGCGUAAAGCGCACGUAGGCGGAUUUGUAAGUCAGGGGUGGAAUCCCGGGGCUCAACCUCGGAACUGCCUUUGAUACUGCAAAUCUCGAGUCCGGAAGAGGUGAGUGGAAUUCCUAGUGUAGAGGUGAAAUUCGUAGAUAUUAGGAAGAACACCAGUGGCGAAGGCGGCUCACUGGUCCGGUACUGACGCUGAGGUGCGAAAGCGUGGGGAGCAAACAGG